This 1527-nucleotide ribosomal RNA is filed under the name Salmonella enterica subsp. enterica serovar Javiana. RNAcentral's name for it is "bacterial SSU rRNA". It matches the Rfam family "Bacterial small subunit ribosomal RNA". The record is from RNAcentral. Lineage: Bacteria; Pseudomonadati; Pseudomonadota; Gammaproteobacteria; Enterobacterales; Enterobacteriaceae.
UGAAGAGUUUGAUCAUGGCUCAGAUUGAACGCUGGCGGCAGGCCUAACACAUGCAAGUCGAACGGUAACAGGAAGCAGCUUGCUGCUUUGCUGACGAGUGGCGGACGGGUGAGUAAUGUCUGGGAAACUGCCUGAUGGAGGGGGAUAACUACUGGAAACGGUGGCUAAUACCGCAUAACGUCGCAAGACCAAAGAGGGGGACCUUCGGGCCUCUUGCCAUCAGAUGUGCCCAGAUGGGAUUAGCUUGUUGGUGAGGUAACGGCUCACCAAGGCGACGAUCCCUAGCUGGUCUGAGAGGAUGACCAGCCACACUGGAACUGAGACACGGUCCAGACUCCUACGGGAGGCAGCAGUGGGGAAUAUUGCACAAUGGGCGCAAGCCUGAUGCAGCCAUGCCGCGUGUAUGAAGAAGGCCUUCGGGUUGUAAAGUACUUUCAGCGGGGAGGAAGGUGUUGUGGUUAAUAACCGCAGCAAUUGACGUUACCCGCAGAAGAAGCACCGGCUAACUCCGUGCCAGCAGCCGCGGUAAUACGGAGGGUGCAAGCGUUAAUCGGAAUUACUGGGCGUAAAGCGCACGCAGGCGGUCUGUCAAGUCGGAUGUGAAAUCCCCGGGCUCAACCUGGGAACUGCAUUCGAAACUGGCAGGCUUGAGUCUUGUAGAGGGGGGUAGAAUUCCAGGUGUAGCGGUGAAAUGCGUAGAGAUCUGGAGGAAUACCGGUGGCGAAGGCGGCCCCCUGGACAAAGACUGACGCUCAGGUGCGAAAGCGUGGGGAGCAAACAGGAUUAGAUACCCUGGUAGUCCACGCCGUAAACGAUGUCUACUUGGAGGUUGUGCCCUUGAGGCGUGGCUUCCGGAGCUAACGCGUUAAGUAGACCGCCUGGGGAGUACGGCCGCAAGGUUAAAACUCAAAUGAAUUGACGGGGGCCCGCACAAGCGGUGGAGCAUGUGGUUUAAUUCGAUGCAACGCGAAGAACCUUACCUGGUCUUGACAUCCACGGAAGAAUUCAGAGAUGGAUUUGUGCCUUCGGGAACCGUGAGACAGGUGCUGCAUGGCUGUCGUCAGCUCGUGUUGUGAAAUGUUGGGUUAAGUCCCGCAACGAGCGCAACCCUUAUCCUUUGUUGCCAGCGGUCCGGCCGGGAACUCAAAGGAGACUGCCAGUGAUAAACUGGAGGAAGGUGGGGAUGACGUCAAGUCAUCAUGGCCCUUACGACCAGGGCUACACACGUGCUACAAUGGCGCAUACAAAGAGAAGCGACCUCGCGAGAGCAAGCGGACCUCAUAAAGUGCGUCGUAGUCCGGAUUGGAGUCUGCAACUCGACUCCAUGAAGUCGGAAUCGCUAGUAAUCGUGGAUCAGAAUGCCACGGUGAAUACGUUCCCGGGCCUUGUACACACCGCCCGUCACACCAUGGGAGUGGGUUGCAAAAGAAGUAGGUAGCUUAACCUUCGGGAGGGCGCUUACCACUUUGUGAUUCAUGACUGGGGUGAAGUCGUAACAAGGUAACCGUAGGGGAACCUGCGGUUGGA